CCGCAGCAAGCUGGCAAUGCACUCCCCGAGUCGCCACCGCUCACCGCAGGCUGGUAGUGACCCUCUGCAAGCUGGCGCCGCCCCCCGUGAGCUGGCACUGCCCGCUCCUAGGCUGGCAGUGCCCUCACCACGACGGCGCCGCCGGCAGCGCAGGCUCGGCGGUGACCUCACCAAGAUGGCGCCGACGUCCCGCCUGCGACGCUGACCUCACCAAGGUGGCUCCGGGGGCGGUUCCCGCCGCCCCUCCUUUCUCGCAUGCGCAGAGCGCUCAGGCCAGGCCGCAGGGAGGGGCACAGGGGACAGAGCCACUCUGAAGGCUGCCUGGGGGGCGUCUGGGCGCCGGAGGUGGGAGCUGAACUGCUUUGCCCCAGCCCAGCUGCAGAUCUGCACUCAGCCUCAGCCCCAAGCCCUGGCAGGGUGGGAUGCUUUGGUACCAGGCCGUGGAGCUGUUUGAAAUGCAAUUCCUGCUUGCAGCUGGUUCAGAAAUGGAUUUCCUGUGGCUGUGGGGGCAGAAAUGUCUCUGUGGUUUGCACUUUGCUUUCCACUCCACUGGCCAAGCCAGCCAGAUGUGCAGCAGCAGCAGGAUGGGCACGAGGGCCCCAGCUGCUGCGGUGAAUCUGUCAGCACGGACGCUGGUGCCGCUGCAGCCUGGCCCUGCAGCCUGGCAGGGUGAUCUCCUUUGGCUCGGCUCCUGUGGGCUCCAGCUGCAGGGAUGGAUUUGCCUGCACUCAAGCUGCUGCUGCCAGAGCCCCUCCGUGUCAAUCUGUGCUGCCGUUGGGUUCUGCAGCUCUCUCCAGCAAGCAUGGCAUGAGCUGAAGGAGCAGCAGGAGCAGCAUGGCCGUUCCCCAGGCAGCAGGAGGGUUCAGCCCAGCACCAGCUCAUGCGGGAGGAGCAGGUGCUGAGGGACAUCCCCCACGAGACGCAGGUGGCCAAAGAGGCUGGGUCAGGUAAAGCUUUGUGUGGAGUUUGUGCUCCUUCUGGCAGUCAGGUGCACCGGUUCUGAGGAGUAGAAGCAUGGAGUGGUUGCUGUUGGA
Molecule: long non-coding RNA, 1034 nt
Organism: Pogoniulus pusillus (Red-fronted tinkerbird)
Lineage: Eukaryota; Metazoa; Chordata; Aves; Piciformes; Lybiidae
Exons: 4
Source: RefSeq, a predicted model, not a curated record